This 492-nucleotide ribosomal RNA is filed under the name uncultured bacterium. Its description in RNAcentral is "partial 16S ribosomal RNA". It matches the Rfam family "Bacterial small subunit ribosomal RNA", at positions 29 to 507 of the family's 1533-position model. The record is from RNAcentral.
AGUGAACGCUGGCGGUAGGCCUAACACAUGCAAGUCGAACGGCAGCACAGUAAGAUCUUGCUCUUACGGGUGGCGAGUGGCGGACGGGUGAGGAAUACAUCGGAAUCUACUUUUUCGUGGGGGAUAACGUAGGGAAACUUACGCUAAUACCGCAUACGACCUACGGGUGAAAGCAGGGGAUCUUCGGACCUUGCGCGACUGAAUGAGCCGAUGUCGGAUUAGGUAGUGGGCGGGGUAAAGGCCCACCAAGGCGACGAUCCGUAGCUGGGCUGAGAGGAUGAUCAGCCACACGGGAACUGAGACACGGUCCAGACUCCUACGGGAGGCAGCAGUGGGGAAUAUUGGACAAUGGGCGCAAGCCUGAUCCAGCCAUACCGCGUGGGUGAAGAAGGCCUUCGGGUUGUAAAGCCCUUUUGUUGGGAAAGAAAAGCAGCAGGUUAAUACCCCGCUGUUCUGACGGUACCCAAAGAAUAAGCACCGGCUAACUUCGUG